RNAcentral lists this long non-coding RNA (578 nucleotides) under Castor canadensis (American beaver). Its description in RNAcentral is "lncRNA (ENSCCNG00000016102.1)". The record is from RNAcentral. Lineage: Eukaryota; Metazoa; Chordata; Mammalia; Rodentia; Castoridae.
AGUCAUGCUGUGUGGUUUUGAGUUCGGUUCCAGUUCUCACCAGCUGUGUGACCUUGAACAAAUUACAUAACUUCUCUAGGUCACAUCCCCCAGCUGAAAAAUGGAAAGCACAUGGUACUAAGUUCUGAGGGUCUUGUGAAGAUUAAAGAGGUCAUUGAGGAGGAUGCAUUCCAAACAGUAUUGAAAUGUUUGCUUCUUCUGAGAAGAGGCAUGAGUGGUGCGAGGAGCUGCUCUAGAUACUGCCUCCAUCUGUGUUGGUGGGAAGAUCCAGGUGAGGUCAGAAGAUGCCUGCUCAGUGGACCUUUGGCCAUCUUCACAACAUCAGAGAGGGCCCCAGGCAGGUGGCCUCUGAACCUACCCCCAGGAAAACGAGUAAGAAGCCUUACUCUGGGCAGUGUUCCCUUCACCAGCUACAGCAGGGACAAAGACGACAGACAGCCUUUAACCACCCCAAGGAUGUGCAGUAAACAAAAUGAUGUAUGGACACAUUCUUAGGAGAAAGGUAAGCUUGAAUUAAGUACUGAGCCCACGUUGUCUUUAGGUACUGUUCCUUGUAUGUAGCUCCCUUACUAAAUAUU